Non-coding RNA from Podarcis lilfordi (Lilford's wall lizard), 74 nucleotides. NCBI's taxonomy places the organism in Eukaryota, Metazoa, Chordata, Lepidosauria, Squamata, Lacertidae. The record is from the annotation of a GenBank genome assembly.
GUCUCUGUAGCACAAAGGGUCAGUAUGUCUGGCUGUUAACCAGAAGGUUGGUGGUUUGAGCCCACCCAGAGAUG